UGGGGAAUAUUGCACAAUGGGCGAAAGCCUGAUGCAGCAACGCCGCGUGAGUGAUGAAGGUCUUCGGAUUGUAAAGCUCUGUCUUUUGGGACGAUAAUGACGGUACCAAAGGAGGAAGCCACGGCUAACUACGUGCCAGCAGCCGCGGUAAUACGUAGGUGGCGAGCGUUGUCCGGAUUUACUGGGCGUAAAGGGUGCGUAGGCGGAUGUUUAAGUGAGAUGUGAAAUACCCGGGCUUAACUUGGGUGCUGCAUUUCAAACUGGAUAUCUAGAGUGCAGGAGAGGAGAAUGGAAUUCCUAGUGUAGCGGUGAAAUGCGUAGAGAUUAGGAAGAACACCAGUGGCGAGGGCGAUUCUCUGGACUGUAACUGACGCUGAGGCACGAAAGCGUGGGUAGCAAACAGGAUUAGAUACCCUGGUAGUCCACGCCGUAAACGAUGAGUACUAGGUGUAGGAGGUAUCGACCCCUUCUGUGCCGCAGUAAACACAUUAAGUACUCCGCCUGGGAAGUACGAUCGCAAGAUUAAAAC
Molecule: ribosomal RNA, 529 nt
Filed under: uncultured bacterium
Lineage: Bacteria
Description: partial 16S ribosomal RNA
Rfam family: Bacterial small subunit ribosomal RNA
Source: RNAcentral